UUAAUGAGGUGGUUAGCUCCACCCUAACCCCAGUUUAUCUUGGGGUUGUGCCCAAUUCUGAGCAUAACUUUGAACAGAUGUAGCAACAAACUUCUUGGCCAUUGGUAGCUCCUGCUUGUCUUUAAAUGCCUUGAGGAGAGACAACCUGUUUCAGCUACCUAAGAAAGGAACUUGUAGGACUGUGAAAUACAGUGACCUCAAAAGUUCAAAGCAUGAAAAGACUCUACUUCAUUGCCUCUGCUCUGGACAAACCUUGGUUCUUAGUUUUCCUGGUGGUGAUGAAAAAAUCAACCAAAAUCAAUACCGGUGGAAUAAGGACCUCAACAGGACUCACAUCUAGGAUUCUGAUGCACUUGAGAGCUCAUCAGUCUCGCCCUGCCCCUUCCCCCCCCGCCCCCUCCAUGUUUUGCAAGGUCAGAUGAA
Molecule: long non-coding RNA, 423 nt
Filed under: Columba livia (rock pigeon)
Lineage: Eukaryota; Metazoa; Chordata; Aves; Columbiformes; Columbidae
Description: partial uncharacterized LOC102093299, transcript variant X1
Source: RNAcentral